UCAGUCUGUGAUUUUUUUCUUUUUAAUAUCAGCCUGAAUGGACUAAGACAAUCCUUGUUGUAUUGUCUUGUAUCAGUAUGAUUUUAUGAUCAAAUAACAUUUCAUUGUAUGGGUACUGUAUUUCGUUUAUCCAUUCAUCAAUUGAUGGGCACAUGGAUUAUUUCCACCUCUUGGCUAUCAUGAAUAAUGCUAUUAUCAAGGUAAGUGGACUCGCACUGGCAGUGAGGCACCGCUACCACUGCCACAGCCCAGCCUCCCUCGGCUUCGGUGCUCCCGUCAUGGGGAUCUGGGGUCCCCAGCACACCCAGCUUCCCCAGCUCUGGAGCGCGUGUUUAGUCCUUCAGAAGCCCUGGUGCCAGCCUGGGCCCUUGCUGGGGAAGGAUGACUGAGCUGCAGUUGGCACUGCUAUUGUGAAGACACCUGGCAGAACUCAACAAAAACCCAGUGGAAGGAUUUUCAGAAGGUUUAAUAGAUGACAAUGAUCUCUACCAAUGGGAAGUUCUUAUUAUUGCUCUUCCAGAUAUACUUUACAAAGGUGGUAUUUUUAAAGCUCAUCUCACUUUCCCAAAAGAUUAUUGCCUUUGGCCUCCUAAAAUGAAAUUCAUUAUUGAAAUCUAGUAUCCAAAUGGUAAUAAACAUGGUGAUAUAUGCUUAUCUAUUCUUCACGAACCUGGGGAAAAUAAAUAUGGUUAUGAAAAGCCAGAGGAAUGCUGGUUGCCUAUUCACACAGUGGAAAUCAUCAUGAUUAGUGUCAUUUCUAUGCUGGCAAACCCCAAUGGAGACUCACCUGCUAAUGUUGAUGCUGCAAAGGAGUGGAGGGAAGACAGAAAUGGAGAAAUCAAGAGGAAAGUUGCCCGCUGUGUAAGAAAAAGCCAAAAGGCUGCUUUUGAGUGACAUUUAUUCAACAGCUGUAACUUCACUUAUUUUAGGGUCUCCAAUUGAGAAACAUGGCACUUUUUCCUGCACUCUACCCACCUAUUCCUGGACUUCUGUUGUAACAAGCUGGCAAGCACUGGUUGGAACUGGACUAUAAUAAAACAUGCCAGUAUCAAUGCUGGCAAGAGCCUAACAAAUGCCAGCUUCCAGACGAUUACGCAUUUUGAACUGUUAACCCUUUGGGAAGAAUUGUAAAGACCUGUACAUAGCACAGCAUGAUCCGGAUAGUAUAUAUACUGUUCACAUACACCUACAAAUAUACCUCAUACCAAAUAGCACUUUCUUGCAGUAGAAUAAGAAUCGUGUAAAUUCUAAAAAAUUUAAGCAGAUUUUCUUUCCCUAUUAUUGUUUCUUUUCAGAUUUAAAAGCAUGUCAGAUAAAAAGCAAUUAGGAUUAACAGUUUCCAUUUAAUUUCCUUUAAACCAUUGAGGCGUCAAUAAACUCUUUCCACUUACUAAACUUUUAUAUAUUCUUUGUUUUCACACACUCCCCUUUACUUUUAUCUCUUCUGUCUGCCAGGAAGUUUUCAAGUCAUUUAGUUCAAAUACCAAAGUACUCAAUAAGCAACUACUUGAUUUUUAAUGAUGACAUCAGAGGAGUGGUCACUAGAUGAUUUGUCCCUUUGUAUUGUACCUGCACCCAUCUCUCAGAUUGGAUACAGCAUAACUUUUUUUUUUUUUUUUGUCGUUACGAGCUCUUGAAUCCAGUCAUUAUCCCUAGGAACUAAAAAGAGUAAGUUCUGAAUUCAAUUCAGAUUUAAAAUGAUUGAAAUUUAUUCCCAACAACACAAAACUCUGAUUUGGUUUUAUUUUUGGCCCUCAGUUGCCUAAUGUGAAGGAUGGAUGAAUAAAGCAUGCAUAGCUACAGGCUUUCUACUUAACUUCUGGUUUUGCUAUUAAAAAUGGUGUUUAUCCUCAUCCCUUCUCCUUGGUCCUUCAUAUUUCUUUGCCUCUAUUCUUCUAAUACUGCAGAGUUUUCUCACCUAUUGGACAAAGAAAUUGUGAUGUAUUUUCAUGUAAUUUGAUUUUGGAAUUCUGUCACCUUAUCAGUGAGUUCUU
This is a non-coding RNA of Odocoileus virginianus texanus, 1994 nucleotides long. Lineage: Eukaryota; Metazoa; Chordata; Mammalia; Artiodactyla; Cervidae. The record is from RefSeq and is a predicted model, not a curated record.